GAUGAACGCUGGCGGCGUGCCUAAUACAUGCAAGUCGAGCGAACGGACGAGAAGCUUGCUUCUCUGAUGUUAGCGGCGGACGGGUGAGUAACACGUGGAUAACCUACCUAUAAGACUGGGAUAACUUCGGGAAACCGGAGCUAAUACCGGAUAAUAUUUUGAACCGCAUGGUUCAAAAGUGAAAGACGGUCUUGCUGUCACUUAUAGAUGGAUCCGCGCUGCAUUAGCUAGUUGGUAAGGUAACGGCUUACCAAGGCAACGAUGCAUAGCCGACCUGAGAGGGUGAUCGGCCACACUGGAACUGAGACACGGUCCAGACUCCUACGGGAGGCAGCAGUAGGGAAUCUUCCGCAAUGGGCGAAAGCCUGACGGAGCAACGCCGCGUGAGUGAUGAAGGUCUUCGGAUCGUAAAACUCUGUUAUUAGGGAAGAACAUAUGUGUAAGUAACUGUGCACAUCUUGACGGUACCUAAUCAGAAAGCCACGGCUAACUACGUGCCAGCAGCCGCGGUAAUACGUAGGUGGCAAGCGUUAUCCGGAAUUAUUGGGCGUAGAGCGCGCGUAGGCGGUUUUUUAAGUCUGAUGUGAAAGCCCACGGCUCAACCGUGGAGGGUCAUUGGAAACUGGAAAACUUGAGUGCAGAAGAGGAAAGUGGAAUUCCAUGUGUAGCGGUGAAAUGCGCAGAGAUAUGGAGGAACACCAGUGGCGAAGGCGACUUUCUGGUCUGUAACUGACGCUGAUGUGCGAAAGCGUGGGGAUCAAACAGG
This 766-nucleotide ribosomal RNA is filed under the name Staphylococcus aureus. Its description in RNAcentral is "bacterial SSU rRNA". It matches the Rfam family "Bacterial small subunit ribosomal RNA", at positions 28 to 776 of the family's 1533-position model. The record is from RNAcentral. Lineage: Bacteria; Bacillati; Bacillota; Bacilli; Caryophanales; Staphylococcaceae.